This is a long non-coding RNA of Pan troglodytes (chimpanzee), 1391 nucleotides long. RefSeq lists it as uncharacterized. NCBI's taxonomy places the organism in Eukaryota, Metazoa, Chordata, Mammalia, Primates, Hominidae. The transcript has 2 exons. The record is from RefSeq and is a predicted model, not a curated record.
GAGCCCAGCACUCACUCUCCUCGCCAGCCCAUCCUGUGCCCUCCCCGCCGCACUCCCCCUGCCCCUAACACUAUCUGAGGGUCCUAGGAGGGAGGAGAAGCCAGAGCAGCCACCUCCAGUCCAGAACUUCCAGGAAUGGGAUGGGAGAGAGACAAGGAGAGGGAGAACGGAGUGAAGAAGACCCUGAGACCAGGCGGCGAAGAGGUACAAGAUUGUCAUCUAAGAGUCAAGAAUGUUAUUUCAGAGCUGUCAAGUGAGCCGUCAAACCACUGUAACAGCAUGUUAACUGAGGAUUUUCCAAAUGAUCAGAUAAAAGCCCAAGGGGAGGAGAAUCCUCCUUAAUAUCUAAGUGUGUUCCAUUUUCACAUGCCACAAUGUAGCAGAAAGUAUGAGGUUAAAAUUGAACCUACCACAGGAUCUCUGAAUAUCCUUAGGCUUCAACAUUACCAAGAAUGGAUUUCUCAGCGAUUUCCAGAGGAAGACAACACAUGUAGAAUCAUGUACAUAAAUGAUGGUUGAGGAUAUGUAGACUGACUUUGAGUGAUGCCAAUCUGUGGUUACCUCUUUUGGAUGCUAGACAAGGUCCUGGGCAGACAGAGCAUGUUCUUUCAAACUCCUCCUUAUCUCCCCUAUAUCCACCCAUAUUUUGGAAGGUAGAAGAUGGGAAAGCAAAAUGUGUCUGUUUCAUCAGUUAUGGAUGGAAAUUAGAUGGACUUCUUUACUUGCCUUGCCUAUACCUACUAUAUAAGCACCUGCCCUUCCAAUGGUCUCCUAAAGUGUUCAGCCUGUAAACCACAUGAAAUUUUCCACACAUACCCUAGUAUAUGGGAGGAGAUUGACACCUCACCGGAAGCUAGAUACGAUCAGCCAUCCUUUGCUGGGCUAGUGACCAGAUCCUUUUCUGUUGAAAAUUUGAACUAAGAAACACAUUAACAACGGUGAGUCAGCGUUGGGCUCUGGACAUGAAAGACAGUGAUAAAUUAGAGCUGAACCACUUGUGUGUUGGACCUUGUGUGAAGUGUUUAAUCAGAGAAAGCCGACUGCACUGGAAGAAUGAAGCAGAUGCGUGAAGAGGAACAGAGAUGAAGAAGAUCAAAUGACCAAGAGGUGAAAGGAGUGACCUCAGUCCCUGAGUGUCUGGUUCCUGGCUCUGGGAGCCCAAAUCCCUUGAUGCCUUGGAAUUACCUUUUGGGUCUCUACCACAAACCUUCCUAAUCUUGCGCUACCUUGAGUGGUUUCUAUUCUGUGAAUCCUUGAUCAUUGACUGAAACAUACAACCAAAUGUAUUAUUCAUCCACCAGCUUGUCUGGUUUUGUUUAUGUUUUGGGGUCUUCAGAGUUUGGCUUCUGAUUGGUAGUCACAGAUUAAAUUCAUUAUUGCCAACCCUUUGA